This 259-nucleotide long non-coding RNA is filed under the name Elaeis guineensis (African oil palm). Its description in RNAcentral is "long non-coding RNA (EGUI_LNC056242)". Lineage: Eukaryota; Viridiplantae; Streptophyta; Magnoliopsida; Arecales; Arecaceae. The record is from RNAcentral.
UUAGGAUAUCUACUCCGGAUCCCAGACGAGCUUCUACAACAGGACAGGCUCCACCGGUCAGGUCACUACUCCGAGCUUCCACGACAAUCGAUCUUCGAUCGAGCUUCUACAAUAAGCGGCCUCCUUUCAGCCUUCUACAAGAAUCAGGCUCCGUCCGAACUUCCAUAGCGGAUGGAUUUCGGAUGAGCAUCUAUAACAGAUGGGCUCCAGCAACUGGAUUUUUACAACGGCCGAUCGCCUCUGGUGUCUGCCGAACCUC